RNAcentral lists this ribosomal RNA (490 nucleotides) under uncultured bacterium. RNAcentral's name for it is "partial 16S ribosomal RNA". It matches the Rfam family "Bacterial small subunit ribosomal RNA", at positions 30 to 507 of the family's 1533-position model. The record is from RNAcentral.
AUUGAACGCUGGCGGCAGGCCUAACACAUGCAAGUCGAACGGUAACAGGAAGAAGCUUGCUUCUUUGCUGACGAGUGGCGGACGGGUGAGUAAUGUCUGGGAAACUGCCUGAUGGAGGGGGAUAACUACUGGAAACGGUAGCUAAUACCGCAUAACGUCGCAAGACCAAAGAGGGGGACCUUCGGGCCUCUUGCCAUCGGAUGUGCCCAGAUGGGAUUAGCUAGUAGGUGGGGUAACGGCUCACCUAGGCGACGAUCCCUAGCUGGUCUGAGAGGAUGACCAGCCACACUGGAACUGAGACACGGUCCAGACUCCGACGGGAGGCAGCAGUGGGGAAUAUUGCACGAUGGGCGCAAGCCUGAUGCAGCCAUGCCGCGUGUAUGAAGAAGGCCUUCGGGUUGUAAAGUACUUUCAGCGGGGAGGAAGGGAGUAAAGUUAAUACCUUUGCUCAUUGACGUUACCCGCAGAAGAAGCACCGGCUAACUCCGUG